Molecule: ribosomal RNA, 850 nt
Filed under: uncultured bacterium
Lineage: Bacteria
Description: bacterial SSU rRNA
Rfam family: Bacterial small subunit ribosomal RNA
Source: RNAcentral
CUAGCGGCGGGCCUAAUACAUGCAAGUCGAACGGGAUUGUUGGUAGCAAUACUGACAUGAGAGUGGCGCACGGGUGCGUAACACGUAUGUAACCUACCUUUAACUGGGGAAUAGCUUCGAGAAAUCGAAAUUAAUACCCCAUAACGUUUAGAAAAGGCAUCUUUUCUUUACCAAAGCUCCGACGGUUAGAGAUGGACAUGCGGUGCAUUAGCUUGUUGGUGAGGUAACGGCUCACCAAGGCUUCGAUGCAUAGGGGGUCUGAGAGGAUGAUCCCCCACACUGGUACUGAGACACGGACCAGACUCCUACGGGAGGCAGCAGUAGGGAAUAUUGGGCAAUGGACGAAAGUCUGACCCAGCCACGCCGCGUGAAGGAUGACUGCCCUAUGGGUUGUAAACUUCUUUUGUAUGGGAAGAAACCUCCGAACGUGUUCGGAGCUGACGGUACCAUAAGAAUAAGCACCGGCUAACUCCGUGCCAGCAGCCGCGGUAAUACGGAGGGUGCAAGCGUUGUCCGGAUUCAUUGGGUUUAAAGGGUGCGUAGGCGGAGAAUUAAGUCAGUGGUGAAAGCUUACAGCUCAACUGUAAAAUUGCCAUUGAAACUGAUUUUCUUGAGUUCGAUUGAGGUAGAUGGAAUGUAUCAUGUAGCGGUGAAAUGCUUAGAUAUGAUACAGAACACCAAUUGCGAAGGCAGUCUACUAAGUCGAUACUGACGCUGAGGCACGAAAGCAUGGGGAGCAAACAGGAUUAGAUACCCUGGUAGUCCAUGCCCUAAACGUUGAUUACUCGUUGUUGGCGAUACACUGUCAGCGACUAAGCGAAAGCGUUAAGUAAUCCACCUGGGGAGUACA